Long non-coding RNA from Lemur catta (Ring-tailed lemur), 1059 nucleotides. RefSeq lists it as uncharacterized. NCBI's taxonomy places the organism in Eukaryota, Metazoa, Chordata, Mammalia, Primates, Lemuridae. The transcript has 5 exons. The record is from RefSeq and is a predicted model, not a curated record.
GCACCAUUACCAAUGAGAGAGGUUGGUGUUUGAUGUCCACAUGCUGUGGCUAGGCGCUAGGCUUAGUGCUUUGCAUAGAUUAGCUCGUUUAAAUCCUCAGGAUGAGCUUCUGGGGGGGUGCUAUUUUUAUUCCUCUUUUGCAGACAAGAACGGGGAAGCCUGGAGAGCCUUCCAGAGACACACAGGCGAGGAGGGCAGCAGGAUCUGGGCCCAGGCACACAACGCGGGGGCCGGGAGUGGCAUUAAGACCCCAGGGAUUCUGGAUGGCUGCACCCUGUGGCCCCCCAGGCCCUGCCCGGGAGGGCAGCAUCCUGGAAGUGCGUUUCCUGGGACUCGCCACCCCUACGCGCUACCCAGUGCCGGAGACGCCACCACUGUCAGCGCAAGAGAGGAAAGGGUCCAUGAAGGCAAAAGCGCCCUACGACCAGAUAACCAUCUUUAACCAGGGGAGCACUUUCUUAUCAGGAGACAAUUCCUAAAGUGAUGGGUGGGCCCAGCCCAGAGAAGGACUUCCAAGAACUCAGGGACAGGGACACUGAGGGGCCAACAACUAAGCUGGCUCCAGGAAGAAAUCUGGCCAACCAAGCACCUGCCGCUGAGCCUCGGGCCCCAUCCACAGCCCGGGAGCAGGGGCAGGAGAGCCCAGGCACGGUCAGGUGAACGAGGGAGAAAGGAAAAGGCAGGAAGCAGCUAACAGCUCUACAAAGACAGAAGGAAACCGCGUGUCCCAGCAGUUUGAAGCCCCGACUGGUGUUGGAAGCACCCCCUUCAAAGCCCAGCUCUGUUGCCACCCAGCUGGGUGACCCUGGACGGUCACUCACCCUCUGAGUCUCAGCUGCCUCGUCUUUAAAGAGAGGAUGAUAGCAUCUAUUAAUACUUCGUGCUGUUGGAAGAGUUAGGUGAGAUAAUGCAAGAACUACUGAGUGCAAUGCCUGGCACAUAGUAGGUGCCCAAUAAAUAACUAGAAAGAGUAAGGUAGGGAGAGAGAAUGAGAGCACACUACAAGCAAAGUCGGGGGCGGAGGCUGUUGCCAAAAACCACUGCAGUGCAGAAUUUGCU